UUGUCUUGUAGUUUUUCCAUUUCUUUCAAGGUGGGUUUCUAUUUCUCAACUUUCUUCAAAUUUUCUUUGAUAAUGGUCAAGCAUUUUUGUUUUUUAUGUUAAUGGUGGUGGUUUCUGACAUCGGUGCACGUCUGGUUUUCCCUUUCUUUUUUAUUUCUAUUUUUUUUCUUUUGCUAAUUUCUUGUUUUUUUGGGCCAUUUCUAUUUGUGUUGGAGUGUUUGAUCAUUGAUGAUGGUGGACAAUGGCGUGAGUGGUGGAUUUGAUUGCACAAGUGUGAUGAGAUGUUUCUUCUUCACUGUUUUCUAUGAUCGAUCAGUUGUAGUCCAAGGGAGAUUGUCGGAGGUGUGAUGAUUUCUGGCAUCGGUGAUGGGACAUCUCUGCCCUUUUUUGGAAGUUGGGUGGCGAUGCGGUGGCGGUCGUGGAAGGUGUUUUUUGUGCUCAAUUGUACUUCAACGGAAUGUAUUGGUAGUCAUGUGCUUUGUGUUUUCUUGUAGUUGCUCAAAGUACUUGUUGUGUUUGCUGCAAUGUCAAUGCAGUCUUCGACAGCUAGAAGUUCCUACCUCACAUACAAGAAAAAGAAAUAUGCAAAUGCGAUUGGAAAGAUAUAGUACGAGCCUCCGAGUCAGUAGACAACCUUCAUAGGCUAUACUUCUUUUGUGCUUGACGAUUGUGCAAUGCUUCUGAUAAAGAUGAUGACCAAGACAAUUAUCCAAUGGUGAUGAAGCAAUGGGAAGAGGUAACCAGUGCGGAAUUGAAGGUCAUGAAGAAAGAAAUAGUGGUUCGAUUAUAUGAGAUGAAAGGAAUGCUAAAGGUGGAUAAACAAAAUUUAUCACGCAAACCAACAAGUAGAAUGCCAGUAGUGGCUAUUUUCUUUAUCGUCAUUUGGGCCAUCUUCAAUGUUCUCUUAUGUUACAAGUCGAAGAGUGUCUAGGACAGUGUUCCUUGUUUGAUGUAUUUGGUUUUAUAGUGAUAUAAUCGAACACAAUUUAGUGAUGAAUGUAUUUGGU
Molecule: long non-coding RNA, 1007 nt
Organism: Nelumbo nucifera (sacred lotus)
Lineage: Eukaryota; Viridiplantae; Streptophyta; Magnoliopsida; Proteales; Nelumbonaceae
Source: RefSeq, a predicted model, not a curated record